RNAcentral lists this ribosomal RNA (416 nucleotides) under uncultured bacterium. RNAcentral describes it as "bacterial SSU rRNA". It matches the Rfam family "Bacterial small subunit ribosomal RNA", at positions 363 to 776 of the family's 1533-position model. The record is from RNAcentral.
AUCGGUCAAUGGGGGAAACCCUGAACCAGCCAAGUCGCGUGAGGGAAGACGGUCCUACGGAUUGUAAACCUCUUUUGCCGGGGAGCAANNGGGUCCUUGCGAGGGCCCAAUGAGAGUACCCGGAGAGAAAGCAUCGGCUAACUCCGUGCCAGCAGCCGCGGUAAUACGGAGGAUGCGAGCGUUAUCCGGAUUUAUUGGGUUUAAAGGGUGCGUAGGCGGGCUGUUAAGUCAGCGGUCAAAUGUCGGGGCUCAACCCCGGCCUGCCGUUGAAACUGGCGGCCUCGAGUGGGCGAGAAGUAUGCGGAAUGCGUGGUGUAGCGGUGAAAUGCAUAGAUAUCACGCAGAACUCCGAUUGCGAAGGCAGCAUACCGGCGCCCUACUGACGCUGAGGCACGAAAGCGUGGGUAUCGAACAGG